RNAcentral lists this small nuclear RNA (105 nucleotides) under Dasypus novemcinctus (nine-banded armadillo). Lineage: Eukaryota; Metazoa; Chordata; Mammalia; Cingulata; Dasypodidae. The record is from RNAcentral.
GUGCUUGCUUGGGCAGCACAUAUACUAAAACUGGAAUGAUAGAGAAGAUUAGCACGGCCCCUGUGCAAGCCUGACACACAAAUCUGUGAAGCAUUCCAUAUUUUU